CGUAGGGUAACCUGCCUUAUAGUGGGGGAGUAGCCUUUCGAAAGGAAGAUUAAUACCGCAUAAGAUUGUAGUAUCGCAUGAUAUAGCAAUUAAAGGAGCAAUCCGCUAUAAGAUGGACCCGCGUCGCAUUAGCUAGUUGGUGAGGUGAUGGCUCACCAAGGCGACGAUGCGUAGCCGACCUGAGAGGGUGAUCGGCCACAUUGGGACUGAGACACGGCCCAGACUCCUACGGGAGGCAGCAUG
This 243-nucleotide ribosomal RNA is filed under the name uncultured bacterium. Its description in RNAcentral is "partial 16S ribosomal RNA". It matches the Rfam family "Bacterial small subunit ribosomal RNA", at positions 116 to 353 of the family's 1533-position model. The record is from RNAcentral.